UGACGUGUAGCAUCAUGGUGAUGCAUCUGACUGUUAGAGUUGGAAAUGAGGUCGGUUCGAAUCCGAUCACGUCAA
RNAcentral lists this transfer RNA (75 nucleotides) under Enterococcus gilvus. RNAcentral's name for it is "tRNA-Asn". It matches the Rfam family "tRNA". From Rfam's summary of the family: Transfer RNA (tRNA) molecules are approximately 80 nucleotides in length. Their secondary structure includes four short double-helical elements and three loops (D, anti-codon, and T loops). Further hydrogen bonds mediate the characteristic L-shaped molecular structure. tRNAs have two regions of fundamental functional importance: the anti-codon, which is responsible for specific mRNA codon recognition, and the 3' end, to which the tRNAs corresponding amino acid is attached (by aminoacyl-tRNA synthetases). tRNAs cope with the degeneracy of the genetic code in two manners: having more than one tRNA (with a specific anti-codon) for a particular amino acid; and 'wobble' base-pairing, i.e. permitting non-standard base-pairing at the 3rd anti-codon position. Lineage: Bacteria; Bacillati; Bacillota; Bacilli; Lactobacillales; Enterococcaceae. The record is from RNAcentral.